GACGAACGCUGGCGGCGUGCCUAACACAUGCAAGUCUACGAGAAAGGGGUAGCAAUAUCCCGAGUACAGUGGCGCACGGGUGAGUAACGCGUAGGCAAUUUGCCUUGGGGACGGGGAUAAUUCAUCGAAAGGUGGACUAAUACCCGAUGACGCAUCGGAGUCGCCUGGCUCUGAUGUCAAAGGUCCGAAAGGAUGCCCCUUGAUAAGCCUGCGUCCCAUUAGGUAGUUGGCGGGGUAAUAGCCCACCAAGCCGACGAUGGGUAGCUGGUCUGAGAGGAUGAUCAGCCACACUGGAACUGAGACACGGUCCAGACUCCUACGGGAGGCUG
RNAcentral lists this ribosomal RNA (329 nucleotides) under uncultured Chlorobiota bacterium. RNAcentral's name for it is "bacterial SSU rRNA". It matches the Rfam family "Bacterial small subunit ribosomal RNA", at positions 28 to 351 of the family's 1533-position model. The record is from RNAcentral. Lineage: Bacteria; Pseudomonadati; Chlorobiota.